CUCCGGUAAGGGCGGUGAAAUAGACCUGAAACCAUAUGCCUACAAGGAGUCAGAGCGGGUAUUUAUAUCCGUCAUGGCGUGCCUAUUGAAGAAUGAGCCAACGAGUUUUAGCAUACUGCUCGGCUAAGCCCGCGUAGGGUGGAGCCAUAGGGAAACCGAGUGUGAAUAGCGCGAUCGUAGUAUGCUAAAGACCCGAAGCCAAGUGAGCUUGUCAUGAGCAGGGUGAAGUUUCGCGAAAGCGAGAUGGAGGCCCGAACCGGUGACCCGUGCAAUAGUCUCGGAUGACUUGUGAUAAGAAGUGAAAAGCUAAUCGAACUUGGUAAUAGCUGGUUCUCUCCGAAAGAGCUUUUGGGUUCGCGUCACGCGUUCCCUACAGGGGUAGAGCACUGGAAGGUCUCAACAGGGAGAAAUCUCGUGAGACCUAUCAAACUCCGAAUACUGUAGGUUAAAAGCGUGGCAGUUAGACUCCGGGGGCUAAGCUCCGGUGGUCAAAAGGGAAACAGCCCAUGAUCUCUAUUUAAGGUCCCUAAAUCUACACUAAGUGCACUUAAGGUGGUGAAGUUUCUCUAACAUUGAGGAGGUUGGCUUAGAAGCAGCCAUCCUUUAAAGAAAGCGUAACAGCUCACUCAAAUAGAGACUUCGCGCCGCAGAUACUCGGGGCUAAGUGUAGUACCGAAACUGAGGGCUUUCAUUGCAUUCGUGCAGUGGGAGCGGUAGGAGAGUUUUCGCAUCAGCUGUGAAGGUAAAGGGGUGACCCAUACUGGAGCGUUGCGAAGUAAGAAUGUUGGCACAAGUAACCACAAGACAUGUGAGAAUCAUGUCCGCCGAAAGAACAAGGUUUCCUUGGCGAUGUAGAUCAGCCAAGGGUUAGUCGGGCCUAAGAAAAUGCCGAAAGGCGCAUUCGAUGGACACAUGGUUAAUAUUCCAUGACCCGCACGUUUGCGAUGGAGGGACGGGGUUUAGUAACGAGAGCGACUUAUUGGAUUGUCGUUUUUGCUGUAAGGGCGUGCUUUAGGAAAAUCCGGAGCAUAUAACCCAAGCAGAGAAGAAAAGUGUGUCUUCGGACAUGCUGAUUCUCGUGAGCAGACCUUCAAGAAAAACUUCUAAGCUCUAGAACGUGCGGACCGUACCGCAAACCGAAACAGGUGUUCAGCUCGAGUAGAGUAAGGCGAACGAGUGAGAAAUCUCCAAGGAACUCGGCAAAAAAGCAGCCGUAACUUCGGAAUAAGGCUUGCCCCAGCAAUGGGGCCGCAGCUAAAGUAUCUCUGGCAACUGUUUAUCAAAAACACAGCUCCCUGCGAACUCGUAAGAGGAUGUAUAGGGGGUGACACUUGACCAAUGCCAGAAGGUCAAAUAUCGGCGGUGAAUGGAUCUUCGGAUUUAUUUGCUGACUGAUAUAAGCCCUGGUGAAUGUCGGCCGUAACUAUAACGGUCCUAAGGUAGCGAAAUUCCUUGUCGGAUAAGUUCCGACGCGCACGAAUAGUGUAAUGACUGGAGAACUGUCUCGGAGAUCCGCUCGGUGAAAAUACAAUC
This 1533-nucleotide ribosomal RNA is filed under the name metagenome. RNAcentral's name for it is "bacterial LSU rRNA". It matches the Rfam family "Bacterial large subunit ribosomal RNA", at positions 524 to 2049 of the family's 2925-position model. The record is from RNAcentral.